UACGAAGGGGGCUAGCGUUGCUCGGAAUUAUCGGGCGUAAAGGGCUCGUAGGCGGUUUGUCGCGUCGGGAGUGAAAACGCCGGGCUUAACUCGGUGCUUGCUUUCGAUACGGGCAGACUAGAGGCAUGCAGGGGAGAACGGAAUUCCUGGUGUAGCGGUGAAAUGCGCAGAUAUCAGGAGGAACACCGGUGGCGAAGGCGGUUCUCUGGGCAUGUCCUGACGCUGAGGAGCGAAAGUGUGGGGAGCGAACAGG
RNAcentral lists this ribosomal RNA (253 nucleotides) under uncultured bacterium. Its description in RNAcentral is "partial 16S ribosomal RNA". It matches the Rfam family "Bacterial small subunit ribosomal RNA", at positions 524 to 776 of the family's 1533-position model. The record is from RNAcentral.